This 215-nucleotide unclassified non-coding RNA is filed under the name soil metagenome. Its description in RNAcentral is "partial contains 5.8S ribosomal RNA, internal transcribed spacer 2, and large subunit ribosomal RNA". The record is from RNAcentral.
AACGCACGAGACCUGCGGACCUGCGGAGGGAUCAUUACCGAGUUUCCAAAACUCCCAACCCAUGUGAACUUACCUCUCGUUGCCUCGGCGGGAUCGCCCCGGGUGCCCCAGGCCCCGGACCCAGGCGCCCGCCGCAGGACCCCAAACUCUUGUUUAGUGGAAGCUUCUUCUGAGUGAGAAAACAAAUAAAUCAAAACUUUCAGCAAUGGAUCUCU